Molecule: ribosomal RNA, 476 nt
Filed under: uncultured bacterium
Lineage: Bacteria
Description: partial 16S ribosomal RNA
Rfam family: Bacterial small subunit ribosomal RNA
Source: RNAcentral
GAUGAACGCUAGCGGCAGGCCUAACACAUGCAAGUCGAGGGAGAAGCCUUUCGGGGCAGAAACCGGCGCACGGGUGCGUAACGCGUAUGCAACCUACCUUUCGCAGGGGGAUAGCCCGAAGAAAUUUGGAUUAAUACCCCAUAAUAUUGUUGGAUGGCAUCAUCUGAUAAUUAAAACUGCGGUGGUGAAAGAUGGGCAUGCGUCCUAUUAGCUAGUUGGAGUGGUAACGGCACCCCAAGGCUACGAUAGGUAGGGGUCCUGAGAGGGAGAUCCCCCACACUGGUACUGAGACAGGGACCAGACUCCUACGGGAGGCAGCAGUGAGGAAUAUUGGUCAAUGGUCGGAAGACUGAACCAGCCAUGCCGCGUGCAGGAAGAAUGCCUUAUGGGUUGCAAACUGCUUUUAUAUGGGAAGAAUAAGGUGUACGUGUACAUUGAUGACGGUACCAUAUGAAUAAGCAUCGGCUAACUCCGUG